Molecule: small RNA, 738 nt
Filed under: Pan troglodytes (chimpanzee)
Lineage: Eukaryota; Metazoa; Chordata; Mammalia; Primates; Hominidae
Description: retained intron
Source: RNAcentral
GGCGCAGGCGCAAGCCGGCAAGAUGGCGGCGGCUGGGGCUGGCCGUCUGAGGCGGGCGGCAUCGGCUCUGCUGCUGCGGAGCCCCCGCCUGCCCGCCCGGGAGCUGUCGGCCCCGGCCCGACUCUAUCACAAGAAGGUUGUUGAUCAUUAUGAAAAUCCUAGAAACGUGGGGUCCCUUGACAAGACAUCUAAAAAUGUUGGAACUGGACUGGUGGGGGCUCCAGCAUGUGGUGACGUAAUGAAAUUACAGAUUCAAGUGGAUGAAAAGGGGAAGAUUGUGGAUGCUAGGUUUAAAACAUUUGGCUGUGGUUCCGCAAUUGCCUCCAGCUCAUUAGCCACUGAAUGGGUGAAAGGAAAGACGGUGGAGGAAGCCUUGACUAUCAAAAACACAGAUAUCGCCAAGGAGCUCUGCCUUCCUCCCGUGAAACUGCACUGCUCCAGUAAGUCUCUGCUCUCCAUACCAGUCAGCUGGGACAUUUGGCAGUAAUUUCAACUUGGUUUGCAACAGUCCUUUUAGAUCAUGGAGCCCACGUUUGUAACCCUCAGAAUUAGAGCUCAUGAGUCUGUCCUUAUAACCUGCAGAGGGUUAGAGCCCCCAUGGUCUCACAUUCAUCCCUAAGAGAAUCAUGCCAGAAGGAGGUAUGCACCAGCCAUCAUACUGAGCACUUGAUGGGCGUAACUUCUAAACCUCACAAAUAUCCUUGAGUGCACAGUAGAUGUCAUUACUUCCCUCUUACG